RNAcentral lists this ribosomal RNA (405 nucleotides) under uncultured bacterium. RNAcentral's name for it is "partial 16S ribosomal RNA". It matches the Rfam family "Bacterial small subunit ribosomal RNA", at positions 30 to 526 of the family's 1533-position model. The record is from RNAcentral.
AUUGAACGCUGGCGGCAGGCCUAACACAUGCAAGUCGAACGAGUGGCGGACGGGUGAGUAAUGUCUGGGAAACUGCCUGAUGGAGGGGGAUAACUACUGGAAACGGUAGCUAAUACCGCAACCAUCCGAUGUGCCCAGAUGGGAGUGGAUAGUUGGUGGGGUAACGGCUACCCAAGGCGACGAUCCCUAGCUGGUUUGAGAGGAUGACCAGCCACACUGGAACGUGGACACGGUCCAGACUCCCACGGGGUGCAGAAGUGGGUAAUAUUGCACAAUGGGCGCAAGCCUGAUGCAGCCAGGCCGCGUGUAUGAAGAAGGCCUUCGGGUUGUAAAGUACUUUCAGCUGGGAGGCGUUACCCGCAGAAGAAGCACCGGCUAACUCCGUGCCAGCAGCCGCGGUAAUUC